Molecule: ribosomal RNA, 437 nt
Filed under: uncultured Rhodoferax sp.
Lineage: Bacteria; Pseudomonadati; Pseudomonadota; Betaproteobacteria; Burkholderiales; Comamonadaceae
Description: bacterial SSU rRNA
Rfam family: Bacterial small subunit ribosomal RNA
Source: RNAcentral
AAUUCGAUGCAACGCGAAAAACCUUUACCUAACCGUUUGACAUGUACGGAACUCGCCAGAGAUGGCUUGGUGCUCGAAAGAGAACCGUUAGCACAGGUGCUGCGUGGCUGUCGUCAGCUCGUGUCGUGAGAUGCUGGGUUAAGUCCCGCAACGAGCGCAACCCUUGUCAUUAGUUGCUACAUUUAGUUGGGCACUCUAAUGAGACUGCCGGUGACAAACCGGAGGAAGGUGGGGAUGACGUCAAGUCCUCAUGGCCCUUAUAGGUGGGGCUACACACGUCAUACAAUGGCCGGUACAGAGGGUAGCCAACCCGCAGGGGGAGCCAAUCCCACAAAGCCAUUCGUAGUCCGGAUCGCAGUCUGCAACUCGACUGCGUGAAGUCGGAAUCGCUAGUAAUCGUGGAUCGGCAUGUCACGGUGAAUACGUUCCCGGGUCUU